AAACUGAAGAGUUUGAUCAUGGCUCAGAUUGAACGCUGGCGGCAGGCUUAACACAUGCAAGUCGAGCGGAAACGAUGGGAGCUUGCUCCCAGGCGUCGAGCGGCGGACGGGUGAGUAAUGCUUAGGAAUCUGCCCAGUAGUGGGGGAUAGCCCGGGGAAACCCGGAUUAAUACCGCAUACGCCCUUUUGGGGAAAGCAGGGGAUCUUCGGACCUUGCGCUAUUGGAUGAGCCUAAGUCGGAUUAGCUAGUUGGUGAGGUAAUGGCCCACCAAGGCGACGAUCCGUAGCUGGUCUGAGAGGAUGAUCAGCCACAUCGGGACUGAGACACG
This 329-nucleotide ribosomal RNA is filed under the name Oceanospirillales bacterium. RNAcentral's name for it is "bacterial SSU rRNA". It matches the Rfam family "Bacterial small subunit ribosomal RNA", at positions 1 to 328 of the family's 1533-position model. Lineage: Bacteria; Pseudomonadati; Pseudomonadota; Gammaproteobacteria; Oceanospirillales. The record is from RNAcentral.